UCAAAGAUUUUGUUAUGCUGUAUUGGAAGAACGAGAUGAGGCCGAUGACAACCCACAGGAUGGCAGAGAUGCAUAAGUGAGAAAGUACACCCUCUCUGCUCAGUAGGAAUAAUUCAGCUGAUGAAUUGAAUUUCAUGUUUUUUUCUAUUUAGUUAAGACUUCUUACUUAUUAUAACUCGUGUUAGUAGCUGCAGUGAAUUUUGUUGAUUUGUGUGUAAGAUAAAAGCCUGCAUAUCCGAAGAAAUUUAGCUAAUUUAGAAAAUUUGUCGUAUGAGAAAUAACAGCUAUCUUCGUUUUCUUUAACUCGACGUUAAAUCCGUUUAUCUAUUGCUGGAAGAUAAAAGGAGUGAGAAACAGUAAAGGAGACAAUUGGAAACGCACGUUGCUCUUAAUGAAUUCGUAAAUUGUGAUAGUUAAAUAUCUAUUGAUGCUUUGAAAGUCAAUUCAUAAAAAAAUAUGAUCGCUAGAAGAGAAGGAAACUUUAAGGUAUCUUUUGUUCGCGGAUAGGAGGAGAUCAAAUUGAACUUUUAUUACCAUCCGGAACAUAUAGAAAGACAUUCCUGAGUGAAGAAUGUAUAAGAUUUUUAGAAGAAAAGGAAAGGACACAUGCUUGUAGUUCGAUAAGAAGAACAAAGAGUUCAAGAGAUCGUGCACAAGCUAGUAACUCUUGAUCGUGAAAACUUUAUUUACGCGAAUCACCAGAGGAACAUCAGAAUGUCAGCGGACAAUGUCACAGUAAUUCUGUGUUUCUUGCACACAUAUAACAAAAAAAGAUUACCCAUGAUAAAAAAAAAAGCUCUAGGUAGAAAGGGUUCGCUGUUUAAUUUGUUUGAAAUGAGAAAGUUAACGAAAAAUGAAACUUAUACUGUUGACAAGGAAAAUGUGUGAAUAAGUUUGUUCUACUUGCUCUUAAACUUUAUAGUUACAGUCAACCCUUGAAGUAAAAUUGAUCAUUUUGAGUCA
Molecule: long non-coding RNA, 963 nt
Organism: Stylophora pistillata
Lineage: Eukaryota; Metazoa; Cnidaria; Anthozoa; Scleractinia; Pocilloporidae
Source: RefSeq, a predicted model, not a curated record